RNAcentral lists this ribosomal RNA (488 nucleotides) under uncultured bacterium. Its description in RNAcentral is "partial 16S ribosomal RNA". It matches the Rfam family "Bacterial small subunit ribosomal RNA", at positions 28 to 507 of the family's 1533-position model. The record is from RNAcentral.
GAUGAACGCUAGCGGCAGGCUUAACACAUGCAAGUCGAGGGGCAGCAUAAUGGAUAGCACUAUCUAUGGUGGCGACCGGCGCACGGGUGCGUAACGCGUAUGCAACCUACCUUUAACAGGGGGAUAACACUGAGAAAUUGGUACUAAUACCCCAUAAUAUCAUAGAAGGCAUCUUUUAUGGUUGAAAAUUCCGAUGGUUAGAGAUGGGCAUGCGUUGUAUUAGCUAGUUGGUGGGGUAACGGCUCACCAAGGCGACGAUACAUAGGGGGACUGAGAGGUUAACCCCCCACACGGGUACUGAGACACGGACCAGACUCCUACGGGAGGCAGCAGUGAGGAAUAUUGGUCAAUGGACGCAAGUCUGAACCAGCCAUGCCGCGUGCAGGAUGACGGCUCUAUGAGUGGUAAACUGCUUUUGUACGAGGGUAAACGCAGAUACGUGUAUCUGUCUGAAAGUAUCGUACGAAUAAGGAUCGGCUAACUCCGUG